This 254-nucleotide ribosomal RNA is filed under the name uncultured bacterium. Its description in RNAcentral is "partial 16S ribosomal RNA". It matches the Rfam family "Bacterial small subunit ribosomal RNA", at positions 524 to 776 of the family's 1533-position model. The record is from RNAcentral.
UACGUAGGGGGCAAGCGUUGUCCGGAUUUAUUGGGCGUAAAGAGCGUGUAGGCGGCCAGAUAGGUCCGUUGUGAAAACUCGAGGCUCAACCUCGAGACGCCGAUGGAAACCAUUUGGCUAGAGUCCGGGAGAGGUGAGUGGAACUGCGAGUGUAGAGGUGAAAUUCGUAGAUAUUCGCAAGAACACCAGUGGCGAAGGCGGCUCACUGGCCCGGUACUGACGCUGAGGUGCGAAAAGCGUGGGGAGCAAACAGG